GACGAACGCUGGCGGCGUGCUUAACACAUGCAAGUCGAACGAAGAGCGAUGGAAGCUUGCUUCUAUCAAUCUUAGUGGCGAACGGGUGAGUAACGCGUAAUCAACCUGCCCUUCAGAGGGGGACAACAGUUGGAAACGACUGCUAAUACCGCAUACGAUCUACUCUCGGCAUCGAGGCAAGAUGAAAGGUGGCCUCUAUUUAUAAGCUAUCACUGAAGGAGGGGACUGCGUCUGAUUAGCUAGGUGGAGGGGUAACGGCCCACCAAGGCGAUGAUCAGUAGCCGGUCUGAGAGGAUGAGCGGCCACAUUGGGACUGAGACACGGCCCAGCCUCCUACGGGAGGCAGCAGUGGGGAAUCUUCCGCAAUGGACGAAAGUCUGACGGAGCAACGCCGCGUGAGUGAUGACGGCCUUCGGGUUGUAAAGCUCUGGUAAUCGGGACGAAAGGCCUUCUUGCGAACAGUUAGAAGGAUUGACGGUACCGGAAUAGAAAGCCACGGCUAACUACGUG
This 510-nucleotide ribosomal RNA is filed under the name uncultured bacterium. RNAcentral's name for it is "partial 16S ribosomal RNA". It matches the Rfam family "Bacterial small subunit ribosomal RNA", at positions 28 to 507 of the family's 1533-position model. The record is from RNAcentral.